AUGGCGUCAUCGUCGUGGGCCGUCCUGGGCAGCAUCCCGCGGGUCGCGCCCCCCGCGGACGGUGCCGACGUGUCCCUCGCGCUCACCCCGCCCCCGCGCGUCUCCGUCCUCACCGUCUCCCCGCGCGUCUUCCCGGAGCCCUUCACUCUCGAGUACUUCCCCUUCGUCCUCGCCGCCGACCCCUCCGGCCUCCUCCUCCUCCAAGCCACCCUCGGCCGCCCCUGGACCCGCGAGAUCACCCACGGUCCCCACGGUCCAGGUGUCCACUGGCACGACUCCGAACCGCGCUACUUCAUCCUCAACGCCAACGCCGGCUCCGCGUUCUGCCUCCCCGAACCCAAGCCCGUCGACAUCAUGCACCAGGCCCUCCUCGGCCUCAUCGCCUCCCCUGGCGGCGGCGGCCACUACAUGGUCUCGGAGCUGCGCCCCAUCAUGGGCACUGACGAAGCCACGCUCCUGUCCUUCUCGUCCGAGGUCGGGAAGUGGGUCGAGAAUAGCGUCCACUACCCGCUCCCGCGCUACAUCUUCGCGCCCAUCGGCGUGGUCUCGCACCACGGGAGGCUCUGGUGGGUCGGCCUCACAUGGGGCGUCAUCACCAGCGACCCCUUCGCCAGCGACCCGGCCCUCCGCUUUGUGCCGCUCCUGCCGGACAGGGUGUUGCGGUCCAGGGAAGCUUGGGGAGAGUCCGACAUGUACUGCUGCGUGGGGGUGAGCGCCGGCAAGCUGCGGUUCGUCGACACCUACUACAUGGACUGUGUCAUCGGCGGCACACCCAACAUGAGCGUGUGGACGCUGCCUGGUCCGGACUCCACGGAGUGGACGCUGGAGCACGAGGUAAGCUUUGGUGAGAUCUGGGCCGAUGGAAGCUACAAGGCCACUGGGCUGCCCGUGGAGAUCCCCACGCUCGCACUCAUCCAUCCCGAGAACCCCGACGUCGUCUACUUCUUCCUGGAGAAGCACAUGUUCGGUGUGGACGUGCGUGCGCGCAAGGUUGUGGACUGCAAGCUCUACGACCUGGUUGCGCCGCCGAGGUGCGCAGUCGCCAGCCGCUUCGUUCGAGCGUGGAGGCUUCCACAACAACAAUUACCAGGUUAA
RNAcentral lists this ribosomal RNA (1095 nucleotides) under Triticum aestivum (bread wheat). Its description in RNAcentral is "partial small subunit ribosomal RNA". Lineage: Eukaryota; Viridiplantae; Streptophyta; Magnoliopsida; Poales; Poaceae. The record is from RNAcentral.